RNAcentral lists this long non-coding RNA (821 nucleotides) under Homo sapiens (human). RNAcentral describes it as "HSALNT0327180". The record is from RNAcentral. Lineage: Eukaryota; Metazoa; Chordata; Mammalia; Primates; Hominidae.
AGGGCUCCAGUAUGGCAGGCUGCAGGUCCCGAGCCCUGCCCCCUUGCCCCGCGGGGAGGUGGCUGAGGCCCAGCGAAAAUUCGAGCGCGGCGCCGGCGGGCCAUCACUGUUGGAGGACCCAGUGCACCCUCCGCAGCUGCUGGCCCGGGUGCUAAGCCUCUCACUGCCCAGGGCCGGCGGCGCCAGCCGACCGCUCAAGAGUGCGGGGCGCGCCGAGCCCGCGCCCACCCGGAAGUUGCGCCGAGCCCGCGCCCACCCGGAAGUCGCGCCGAGCCCGCGCCCACCCGGAAGUCGCGCUGGACCGGCGAGCCCCGCAGGCAGCCCAGGUUCCGGCCCGCGCCUCUCCCUCCACACCUCCCCGCCAGCAGAGGGAGCCCGCUCAGGCCUCAGCCAGCACAGAGAGGGGCUCCCACGGUGCAGCUGCGGGCUGAAGGGCUCCUCAAGCGCGGCCAGAGUGGGCUGAGGCCGAGGAGGUGCCGAGAGCCAGCGAGGGAUGCCAGCAAGCUGUCACCUCUCAGAAAUACAGGAAGAACAUCAAUAAUGUUCGAAGUUAUAAAGUAGCUGGAAUGCACUUGGAUGCCAGAGAUUUUGAUUUCUUCAUGUGAAAUAAGUUGCGGAGGUCAGAGGUCAGAAAACAAGGUGUCUGCAGGACCAACCUCUCCUCUGGAUGCUCUAGGAAACGAGUAGAAUUAAGUGAAUUGAUUAUCAUAUCUAACCUGUAAGUACAAAUUACUUUCCCUUGGAAUUACAUAAUUGAUAAUUGUACAUCCUCAGAUGUGUUUGAAUCUGAGAUUUACUCUAAACUCAGAGGAAAAAAAGUG